CGGGAAACCGGAGCUAAUACCGGAUAAUAUUCGAACCGCAUGGUUCGAUAGUGAAAGGUGGUUUGCUAUCACUUAUGGAUGGACCCGCGCCGUAUUAGCUAGUUGGUAAGGUAACGGCUUACCAAGGCGACGAUACGUAGCCGACCUGAGAGGGUGAUCGGCCACACUGGAACUGAGACACGGUCCAGACUCCUACGGGAGGCAGCAGAA
RNAcentral lists this ribosomal RNA (210 nucleotides) under uncultured Staphylococcus sp. RNAcentral describes it as "partial 16S ribosomal RNA". It matches the Rfam family "Bacterial small subunit ribosomal RNA", at positions 150 to 354 of the family's 1533-position model. The record is from RNAcentral. Lineage: Bacteria; Bacillati; Bacillota; Bacilli; Caryophanales; Staphylococcaceae.